This 254-nucleotide ribosomal RNA is filed under the name uncultured bacterium. Its description in RNAcentral is "partial 16S ribosomal RNA". It matches the Rfam family "Bacterial small subunit ribosomal RNA", at positions 524 to 776 of the family's 1533-position model. The record is from RNAcentral.
UACGUAGGCAGCAAGCGUUGUUCGGAGUUACUGGGCGUAAAGAGUGCGUAGGCGGUGCUCUAAGUUUGGUGUGAAUCUCCCGGCUCAACUGGGAGGGUGCGCCGAAAACUGGAGUGCUUGAGUAUGGGAGAGGCAAGCGGAAGUUCCUGGUGUAGCGGUGAAAUGCGUAGAUAUCAGGAGGAACACCUGUGGUGUGAGACAGCUUGCUGGACCAUCACUGACGCUGAGGCACGAAAGCGUGGGUAGCAAACAGG